RNAcentral lists this ribosomal RNA (94 nucleotides) under Morganella morganii. RNAcentral describes it as "partial 16S ribosomal RNA". It matches the Rfam family "Bacterial small subunit ribosomal RNA", at positions 1 to 88 of the family's 1533-position model. Lineage: Bacteria; Pseudomonadati; Pseudomonadota; Gammaproteobacteria; Enterobacterales; Morganellaceae. The record is from RNAcentral.
UUUAAUUGAAGAGUUUGAUCAUGGCUCAGAUUGAACGCUGGCGGCAGGCCUAACACAUGCAAGUCGGGCGGUAACAGGGAGAAGCUUGCUUCUC